GAUGAACGCUGGCGGCGUGCCUAAUACAUGCAAGUCGAGCGAACGGACGGGAAGCUUGCUUCUCUGAUGUUAGCGGCGGACGGGUGAGUAACACGUGGAUAACCUACCUAUAAGACUGGGAUAACUUCGGGAAACCGGAGCUAAUACCGGAUAAUAUUUUGAACCGCAUGGUUCAAAAGUGAAAGACGGUCUUGCUGUCACUUAUAGAUGGAUCCGCGCUGCAUUAGCUAGUUGGUAAGGUAACGGCUUACCAAGGCAACGAUGCAUAGCCGACCUGAGAGGGUGAUCGGCCACACUGGAACUGAGACACGGUCCAGACUCCUACGGGAGGCAGCAGUAGGGAAUCUUCCGCAAUGGGCGAAAGCCUGACGGAGCAACGCCGCGUGAGUGAUGAAGGUCUUCGGAUCGUAAAACUCUGUUAUUAGGGAAGAACAUAUGUGUAAAUAACUGUGCACAUCUUGACGGUACCUAAUCAGAAAGCCACGGCUAACUACGUG
RNAcentral lists this ribosomal RNA (497 nucleotides) under uncultured bacterium. Its description in RNAcentral is "partial 16S ribosomal RNA". It matches the Rfam family "Bacterial small subunit ribosomal RNA", at positions 28 to 507 of the family's 1533-position model. The record is from RNAcentral.